Long non-coding RNA from Lycium barbarum (goji berry), 4337 nucleotides. RefSeq lists it as uncharacterized. NCBI's taxonomy places the organism in Eukaryota, Viridiplantae, Streptophyta, Magnoliopsida, Solanales, Solanaceae. The transcript is spliced from 2 exons. The record is from RefSeq and is a predicted model, not a curated record.
UAUUUUCAGAUUUUACUCCUCUCUCUUAAAAAAAAAAAACCCCCUAAACAUUUCUCUUCCCUCCCCCUCAUCCGCCGGCAGCCCCUCGAGCUCCGGCGAACCCCAACAACAACAACCACAACGACACCACGCCGCCCUUCCCCAUUUUUUUCUUUCAACCACCACCACGCCGCCUUUCCCCAUUUUUCCUCCGUCCUCACCAACCCAAUACCGCCAGCGACGCCCCACGAACCACCACAUCUCCGCCACACCUCUCUUCAUCGCCAGCAACCAAGCGACACCACGACACCUCUAUCCCUUUGUUUACCACCAAACAACAAAAACAGCCCGCACACCACCCAACUCCGACCAAACCACCAUUCACGCCCCCCACUGCCCGCUCCGGCGAACUCGCGACGCCGGAGCAGGUGAACUCCGACAACAGCCAACCACCUAAAAACUCUUCUCCCUUUUCUUUUUUUUCUCCCAGAAAGCCUACCCUCAUUCCCUUAACCCCUUUUUCAUUCUCUUCUUCUCUUCAAAUAAAUACACAUCUUUAUAUUUACACACACAUUACAUAUGCAUAUAUAUAUAUAUAUAUUACAUAUACAUAGAUUAUUCAUAAUCUUAUUCUUUGUUUUUCCGCUACCUCCGCUCGUCCUCCUCCGGCGAGCUCCAUGGAAACCGGCGAUUGUGCUUUGCUCUAUUUUCUUUACCAACGAUUUUUUUUUUCUGUUGUUGUUGAUUGUUCACUGCUGCUGCUGCUCUGAUUUUCUUUUCUCGGCUGAUUUAUUUUUCUUUCUGUGGUUGUUCGGAUUUAUUGUGGGUCUGUUGGUAAAAAGGUUUGGACUGGUUUCGUACAACUUCCCGUCAUUUUAUUGCGAACUCCGGUGACCUCUAUUACUGAUGCUAAUUGUCUUCAUUUUUUUUGCCUAUGUAAAUUGUUCUUCUUUUGAUAAUUUGUCUUGGGUUCUGCUAAUUUGUUACGUUGUUACUGCCCGCUGUCACGCUUAUUUUUUUUCAGUGUCAUGUUUGUUUUUGGCCCUGAAAAUACUACUCCGGUGGCCAUCAGUAUUGUGUUUAACACUCUCACCCCUCGUGUCAUUUUAUUUAAAUUCAUUUGGGCAAAUACUAAACCCAAGUGGCCGAUGAAGAAAUUUCCGUCGAUUUCCAAGGCCUCCCAUGUACAAAAGACGGAUUUUUUAUUUUAAGUUUAUUUAUCAUUUCUUUAAUUCAUUAGAUAGUUAUUUAUUUUCUUACUAACAUUUUUACCAAGUGCUUAUAUAGGUACGGGAAAAUACAUCUCGAAGACGAUACUCGAAAGGAAUCCGAAUCCCUGUUUGUAAUCUUCUUGUCAUUUCCGUAUUUUUAUUUUUAUUUCUGUCCAUUAUGAUUUUUUAUUAUUAGCUGCUUAUCAUAAGUUUUAGUAAAUUUCCUCUCUGUUUUCAGUUCCUUAUUUUGUUUUUCGUGUAGAUUAGCUUAUGUUGUUCGGGUUACCUAGCUAAAUCAGCUUACCUUUAUUGUUUGUGCCAAAGUAUGAUGUUUGUUCUUCAUGUGUCCUUUGUUUAGUUGAAGUUUAUGUUAGAUUAAGUUUUGUGUUGUUUAGGGUAUGUAUGUGAAUGCUGAUGAUAGUUCAUUUACAGUGACUUCUUCCUUAUUUUCUUUCUUGUAAACGAUGCGCCAUUUAGUAUUUAGUUUACGUCCAUUAUUAUUUCAAGAUUAAGUAAAAUCAGUCAUUUAGUUAUUACUUUCCCUGCAUUUCGUGCCAUUAUGUUUAGACUUGGAAUUUCUUUAGGCAUUAGUUAGUAGAAAAAAAGCAUGAGUUUUGGUACAUUUUUGUUGAUUAAAUAGGUCUGCUCCUAAUUUGAAAUAUAGCUAAGUGUGUUCUCCCAAAUCAAGUUUGGUCUAGCGAUUAAGGAUCUAAUGUUGCUUGAUAUUCAUCACCCCUAAUGGCUACUGCCUCUUUUAAAAUGGUUGCUUCCUUUUCCCAGAAUCCCUUUUUUUCCUUGUCCGAAAACCAAAAAUAGUAUUUAGUUCAUUUUAUGUUAUUUUUAUCACUCUUUAAGCAAAAUUUGUGAUGAUUCUGUGCUAAAGAAUUCUUAGUAUUCGCCUUGUUCUGCCUCAGUGAGGUUUUGAUCAGGUUUAUUUUUUUGUGAUGUUGUACACGGCCUGGUUAUUAUAGUAAAUGUUGUACAUGUCCUAUAUUUGGAUGUUCCUGUUUGUGUGUCCCUUAAAUGGCAAUGCCAGCCCUUAGUUGAUUGAUGACCACAAGGCCACUACUGAGCAUUUGUUCCAAUGGACCUAUAAAGUUGAAAAUUGGUUUAGGUUGCUCUGAAAGUUAAACAGUAUUUUGUUCAAGUUAAAUUUGUUUUUGAUAGAAAAUGGAGCUUACAUUCUCCAGUCAGUUUAGGCCAUUAGUAGGCAAUAGUAAUCUUACAGUCAAUGACAACUUAGUUGUUGUUCCGAUGAUCUUGCAUAUUGGAAAAGUGAGUUUAGGCUGCUUAAGAUUUACUAGGUCUGGAUCUAGAAUCAGUAGUGGUAACUGGUGUAAAUUUUGGUAAAAAAUUUCGUGGACUAAAAAUGGAGUAGACACACAAAUACAAAUAGGUUUCCUAUUUUUCCUUAAAAAUUAGGUGGUGACUCUAACCCUUUUAUACCAGUUAGAAGAACCGGGAAGUUGCCAACUAUCUUGGACCCCCGUUCAAAAUAGGGCGUAACAGUGGGUAGGUCACGACCGUGAAGAAGGGAAGAUGGGUCGGGUCUAAGUUGUGCUUUGCGAUCGCGAUGGUGUGCCUUGCGAUUGGGAAGUGUAAUUUAUGCCUCGACAGAAAUAAUUUCCAAUUCAACUUUGUUCAUAUUUUAGGAGCUCGAAUUUGGGUGAUGUCGAGGGCGUUCUUCAUGAUUUGGCUUGGGGGUUUUCAAGUAAUUUAUCAAAUUGAAGGCCGAUUUGUGAACGGAAUUCAAUGAUUUUCGAGAUUCUUACUAUCUAGACUAUGGGUAAGUCAAUUUUCUGAUGAAAUUACAGUUUUGCCCUUGGGGGCUCGGGGUUACCUUUUUGGGUUCCGAAUUAAAGUAUAGCAAUAUGGAUAUUGUUGGACUCGUUUAAGAUCGUAGAACACUAGACUGAGCUCGUUUGAUGAAUUUGGACGCAGUAGAGCUUCCGAAAAGCUUUAUCCCUUGGAUCGAGAUUGGGAUUGUUCAGAGACAUUGAGGAAAGGCAAGUACGUUCGUGAGCUUUGGAACUUCAAAUCUAAGGUAAGUUGAGACUUACUAGACUCUUUAUGAAGUGUUUGUGUUGGCUAAUAUAAUUAAGGGGCGUAAUGGGGAAUAAGGGUCCAGUACUCGUGAGGUGACGAGCAUUUGUGUGAGUACUAGUGACAUGUUAUGGGUAAUAAAUGGAAUAAUCUUGUGAAGUAAAUAAUGUCAAGCUUAUGGACAUUGGUUAGUAGUGAUAAAUCUACUUGUUUGGUAUGGUUGCUUAUGAUUUGGGCUUAUGAUAGCCAUAUUCUCUAAUAAUUAUUGUGAUAUUCAGUGCAUUCAUCACUCUACAUCUCGUCCAAAUCAUGAAAAAGAAACUAUAUUUGGCAUGUAAUUGAUAUUAAGCAAUUGCAUGUUGUAUGCAUAUCUACUUCAUACAUUGUCAUGAUAUUAUUGACUUGUUAUUGAUGAAUCCUACAGAUGGUCCAUAUAGACCCGAUUGGAUAUGAUACAUGGUUGGAGUGAUGAUGAUAUGAUAGCCUAUCGGCUUACACCCGAUGUGAUAUGAAGGAUCUGGGAUUCUGGGCUGCACGAGCAUGUGUAUACUGGUGCAUAUUGGCCAUUGAAUUGCAUUUCAUUUGCAUUCCAUACCAUACAUACUUGAUUGUGUUAUCCUUGUGUGACUCUUAUAUGAAUAAUUGUAAAGGACCAAGUGUUAUGACUUGAUUGAAAUGUGGACUUGCUUAUCUAAAAUGCUUAAGUGAUUAUAAUUGUACUACUUGUUACUAACAAAGUGUGGAGGUGAGUAUCGGAAGAAUCAACCGUCGUCAUCGUUUCAAUUUAGGAUCGAUCAACGAUGCUGCUGAGUACACGUGGUUCCCCAUAAUCACUCUACACUUGUUGAACAUUUUUGUGUGCCUGAUUCGAGUUCGAGCAGUGGAUGAGUUCCCGCCGACAAUUGAGGCAUUUCUUGGAGUUUAGGUGAGUUGAUGGCUGUUCUGCAACACUGGACUCCAUUUGUAUCUUAUCUUUUUGUCUUUACCUUUGGGGUACAGUAUUUGUAGUAUUUCAGACUUGUAUUACGGAUUUAGUAGCUCUUGUACUUAUGACUUCCAUGUUUUGGGAGAUGUAUGGCUUAGACUUAUUUAUAUUAUUAGAUA